RNAcentral lists this long non-coding RNA (974 nucleotides) under Monodelphis domestica (gray short-tailed opossum). Its description in RNAcentral is "lncRNA (ENSMODG00000029865.2)". Lineage: Eukaryota; Metazoa; Chordata; Mammalia; Didelphimorphia; Didelphidae. The record is from RNAcentral.
GGUACAUGUGAGACACAGGAAGUGAUGUAAAAAAAGGUCUAUAUAUUCGUGUCACUUCCUCUUGCCAGGCUCUCUUUGGCAGCAGAGGCGUUGAGCUCAGGGGUCUCUCUUUCAGAGACAUUGGGUUCGACUAAUGGUAUGGCUCAUCACGGCAUCUUGGUGUCUUAGUGAGGGUCAGCUCGAAGCCACUGAUGGGGACUUCUAUGGCCUGGAAGAGGGAACCCAAACCAGAGGAGAGAUGGCAAUGAGAACCGAUGAAGGGGAAAUACUUUCAAAGCAUCAUGGGCAAGGAGCUAAGUGGGACACGGGCCAAAUCCCAGAGUCACGGAGAUAUUUGAGGGAUGGGAGAAGGAGAGAAUUCCAACCUCCUUCAAUACUGGAGGAGAGAUCUCCUAGCCUGAGUCAGCCCUCCUGACUCCUCACCCAAGCUGCUGGUGAGGCAGACAUGGUGCCUCAGAUCCAUCCAUCCAUCCAUCCAUCCAUGCCAGCCCUGAGCUUCCUCAGUGCGUCCAUUUAUUUAGCCACCCCCACACAACUCUCCUCUAUUUUGUAAGACCCUGAUUACAAGUAUCCCUUCCAUAUCACAACUUUCCCCAUUGUGGUUUUGAUAUAUCACAGAUUGGCAUAAGAAAUUAAAUGGGAAUUCCUUGAGGGUUUUGAGGAAGCCACACAUGAAGGCCUGUAGAUGUCGCAGAAAAAGGUUAGAAACUAUAUAGCUUAUGACCAAAUUUUAUGAGGGAUUGUAAACACCCCAUAUAAGAAAUAGAAAAAAUUCAGACAUCUUUUCUGCUAUGAAGGGAGGGCCAAAAACUGUGAUUCCGAUUUUCAAGAUGGCCAGGGUAGAACGCCCCUAACUCCUGCGAUAUGGAAGGUGAUAGUGUUCUCUCUCCUAGAGGGCAAAGAUGGUAUUUUUGCUUUGUCUUGUAUCUUCAGAAUUUAAUAAAGUUCCUGGAAUAUUCUAAGUGCUUAAUAAA